This 2902-nucleotide long non-coding RNA is filed under the name Sus scrofa (pig). RNAcentral describes it as "lncRNA (ENSSSCG00045017451.1)". The record is from RNAcentral. Lineage: Eukaryota; Metazoa; Chordata; Mammalia; Artiodactyla; Suidae.
UUUUUUUUUUUUUUUUUUUUGCAGCUGCCAAAACAUAGAAUGGUAAUCCUCUUUGAAUAUCAUGAAACCAGAGUGCCUUGGUGGCCUAGUGGUUAGGAUUCGGCGCUUUCACUGUUGUGGCCCCGGAUUCACUCCCUGGCCUGGGAAAUAACAAUAAUAAUAACAAAAAGAAUACAGGGAAAUAUUAUGGAGAUGUAUGGAAAGUUUAAAGGUGAUGUUCCAAAAAAGUUUCUUUGUAUUGUUUGUUUUUGAACAUCUAAAUGGCAGGGAAUUCUUUCCCAGGAUACUUAGCCUUUGAUGACCAUGCAGUUUUAGGGUAAUCUUUUUUCAUAUCCUGCUGCUCUGUGUGACAAGCAAAGGAAGACUGGUUUUUUGCAAUGAUUGUAUCUGGACGUCUUCCAGAAGAUACGGAAGAGGGAGGGGCAGUGGAGGGAACAGACAGACGCAGGUACUGUGGGACUAACUGUCUGGGAAAACUCAUGAAUGAUUUCCUUGCAAGUGUAGCCCGGAGGCCUUUGAAAAUUGCUUCACAUUUGGCUUUUACCAGCCAGCUUGUUUUUAGAAAUUACUGUACCCUCAAGAGGGUCACCCUCCUCACAAAGCACCACCCCAGGCAAGAUGCCAAUCCACAGGGAGUGUGUGUGUGUGUUUGUGACAUCACAUCACUUAUCAUGUCUUUGAAAGUUUGCUUUGUCCUACGUUUUCUUUAAAAAAAAAAAAAAAUGCUUGAUUUCUUGGAAACAUUUACAGAAGAUUACCUUGCAUUCACCUAGCUAUAGUCAGUAAAAAAACUUUAAUUUUUCCAGGGAUUGAGGCUUCGUUUAGGCUUUCGAGGAAGAGUGAAGAUCGAUUGAGUUGGAUUUCAGAUGAAUUCUAAUUUUGAGCCCUAGACUGUGUAGCCUGGAGAAAAGGUCUCAUAUUAGCCUAUUAAAACUGAUGAUAGCAAUAAACAGAAUGAUACCUAGUAACUGACUGAGUCAUUGCCAAGCGCAGAAUGCAUGUCUUAUCAAUCUUUCUUAGACUUUCCUGCACAUAAGAAUAUCCAGAGAGUCUGUUUCAGGUAAGACCUAGAAAUCUGCAUUUUAAGAAGCAUCUCAGGCAUCUUGGACUAUGUUUUGAGGCACAUGUGGCUUUUCGUUUAUUAUCAUUUAAAAUCCUCACAGUAACUUUGUUGAGUAGAUUCUCUUGUCAUCCCUGUUUCACAGAUGAGAGAGCAGAGGCUCAGAGAGGUUCAGUAACUCCUCUGGGUGACACAGCCCCCUAAGUGACCAUGCAGGGUUCUUAAACCUGUGACAGUCCAACUCCACCACACUGCCCCUUCACACCCAAGGUCCUGCCUACCUCCGGGCCUUUGUACUUGCUGUUCUGUCUGCCUGGAAAGCUGGUCCCCUAGAACUUUGCCUGGCUGGCGGCUUCUCAAUCAUUGAGAAUCCUUAGCUUGAAUGUCAUUCUGCCAAGAGGACUUCCCGCAUGGCUUUGCUUCACCACCCCCACCCUCACCCCCCAUGUUUCUCUUUGUCACAUCCUCUUAGUACUUUCUGUCCAGAGCACUUCUGAAGAUAGAAAAUAUUUGCUUUUCAGGAUGAUAACUGUUUGCCUCUCCCUCUUGUCCUGAAGGGCAGGACUGUGUCCUUCACCUCCCAUGCCCAGUGUACCUGCCACCAAGGAGGGUCUCACUGAGCGAAAGGACCAUGACCUAGCUCAAUGUCUUGACUGAGCUGAAAACUGCAAGAAAAUUGUUACUUAAUAUAAAAUUUUAGGAGUUCUCAUCGUAGCUCAGCGGAAGCAAAUCUGACUAGUCUCAGUGGAAACAAAUCUGACUAGUACCCCUGAGGACACAGUUUCGAUCCCUGGCCUCGCCCGUGGGUUAAGGAUCUGGCGUUGCUGUGAGCUGAUGGUGUAGGUGGCAGACACACCACAGCAAUGCAGGAUCCGAGCCUCGUCUGCAACCUACACCACAGCUCAUGGCAACGCCAGAUCCUUAACCCACUGAGUAAGGCCAGGGAUCGAAGCUGCAACUUCAUGGUUCCUGGUCGGAUUCGUUAACCACUGAGCCAUGACGGGAACUCCUAAAGAAUAUAUUCUUUAAAAAUAUAUAUUUAUACUUUGUGUAUAUAUAUUAAUUAUACACACUUAACUCUUGUAAUAAAAUAAACUUAAAUGAGCUUUAGACUUGCAUUGGGUAAGUGGGUUGGAACUUCGGUACCAUCCCUUAUAGUAGUUAGGAUUUUGCAAUAGCAGGACUGGAAGAUACUAAUCUAAAGCAGCCAGGACAGGUGCCAUCCUGAUCUUUGUAAAACACUAAGAGUAAGAUGUUGCCAUUGCUCUGAGUGACCCAGGCCAGUUCUUACCAUCUCCAGAUUCAAAAGUCUUCCUUAGGUCCAAGGGAAGUCCCUUUUUCAGUCAUCCCUUCUGAUUUUACACUAUGAAAAUGGAGGUAAAACCGGCUCAUUAUGACUGUCCUCAUUAAAGCCUUUCUUCUAGGAGGCCACGGUCCCUGUCAUCAUUUACCUGCUCAUCUGUAAGCUCACCAGCAGUGAUUUGAUUACCCUUUCCACAUAAUCCCCUAACAAGAUUUUGACUAAUGCUGGCUGGAAUGGAAAGAUGAUUUGAUUUUCUCGCAUGUAUGAAGCGGCCUCUUUGUCAUUACCUGCCAGUGUCUUGUCAGUGCUGCUCCACUGUCUUGGGCUCAUGCAGAGGACUCUUUUAAUUCUGCCCUCUCGCUAACACUGCUCUCUCAGAUUUGUGCACUUCCUCCACCUGCAGCACCCUCUCUACCAGCUAAAAUUUGACCUUGGCCCUUUUAGCACUUUUCAUUUAUGGCCUCUCGAUUUUGUGUUAUGCUUAGUAAGGUUCUCUCCUCUAUAACCUUGUUUUUACAUUCCAAAAAAAAAAAAAAAAA